GCUACUGGCCUCCGUAAGGAGACCUUUUUUUCUAGAAUACGCAGGAGAGCUGCACAUCUUUGUAUUAAUAGAAGAAAAGAAAGGGGGGAGAGAACCCCAAUACAGCACACACACCACUAGAGACUAACUACGGAUCACCGACUAAAACAUGGAGGAAACACGACCCACACCGCUGUUUUAAGCCAGCAACUCAUCGACUUGGAGGAAGGACAAGGCCUUGGCACCAGUCAUGGACCAGAGCACCGCCUCUUCCCUAACCAUCCUAAGGGCCGUGACCAAGCUGGGAUUUUUGUAUUGGUCUUUUAAGACCACCCCUUUUUUCUGCUUAAUAUAUAAUGGGGCGCAGUUCUCCUGCACGUUCGAGAAAAAAAGAACGGUGUUGGUUUUCUAUCCCCUAAGGGCUGGUUUGGUGACAAGGGAAUUGGAAGGGAUCCAUGGGGGAGGGGGGAUUUGAAUAGCGAGGGAUUUCCCCUAAGGGCUACUUUGGGAACCUCAAAUCCCUUUCGGGAUUGGAGGGGAUUGAGGUUGAAAUGAACUAAUUUCCUCUCCAAUCCCCUUCAAUCCCGAAGGGAUUUGAGUUUCCAAACUAGCCCUAAGGGGUUGCUAACCUCUCAGGGAUUUGAAUUCCUUUCUUUUUUCUUAAUGAAAUGACACGCAGUUCUCCUGUGUGGUUCGAGAGAAAAAAGGAGCUGCAAGAUGGCUAUUAUGACACACAAAGGGCUUUAAGACCUUUUUUUGUUUGUUUUCUUUCUCAACCACUGAGGCAUAUGCCUUAACUUUUUUUUCUCGAUGCCUUAACUUAUUUUGCAUGGGAUAUUUGAUAUUGUACUCCUGCAUGUUAAAAAAAAUGCAACACUAAGUCCCAAGCCACAACGUGGGUCUGUUUAUAAAUAGUCGUGACAAAAAUCAUAAUUUAAACUUUUGCCAUCUUGUGCUUGAGGUUCAACCGUUCAACCAACCAUGUCAAUAGCACAAGGACAAGC
RNAcentral lists this long non-coding RNA (983 nucleotides) under Zea mays. RNAcentral's name for it is "drought responsive lncRNA". The record is from RNAcentral. Lineage: Eukaryota; Viridiplantae; Streptophyta; Magnoliopsida; Poales; Poaceae.